RNAcentral lists this ribosomal RNA (451 nucleotides) under Ocellularia aff. microstoma RivasPlata 1063E. RNAcentral describes it as "SSU rRNA". It matches the Rfam family "Bacterial small subunit ribosomal RNA", at positions 362 to 760 of the family's 1533-position model. Lineage: Eukaryota; Fungi; Ascomycota; Lecanoromycetes; Ostropales; Graphidaceae. The record is from RNAcentral.
UAUUGGUCAAUAGCUUAACGGCUGAACCAGCAACUUGGAGGAAUGUAUAGGGAAAGCUGGUAAAAUGUGAUGUACCUAGUAAUGUAAGAAAUUUUAUAAUAAUUACUUAGUAAUAUAAGUAAUAAAUAUGAGAUUUAUUCUAUAUGAUAUUAACUAAGUUAAUUAAAAUUCUAAGUAGAUGUUUGAUUAUGACAAUAUCUGUAUAGGUCUUGACCAAGUCACGUGCCAGCAGUCGCGGUAAUACGUGGAAGACAAGUGUUAUUCAUCUUUAUUGGGUUUAAAGGGUACCUAGACUGUUAAUUAAGCAAUAAGAUGUACUAAUUAACUAGAGUUUAAUGUAAGAAGGAUUGAGUACGGUGAGAGUAGAGAUAAAAUUCUUAGAUACCACUUGGGAACUGGUAACAGCGAAGGCUACCUUCAAUGUAAAAAACUGACGUUGAAGGACGAAGGA